AGUGAACGCUGGCGGUAGGCCUAACACAUGCAAGUCGAACGGCAGCACAGUAAGAGCUUGCUCUUACGGGUGGCGAGUGGCGGACGGGUGAGGAAUACAUCGGAAUCUACUUUUUCGUGGGGGAUAACGUAGGGAAACUUUCGCUAAUACCGCAUACGACCUACGGGUGAAAGCAGGGGAUCUUCGGACCUUGCGCGAUUGAAUGAGCCGAUGUCGGAUUAGCUAGUUGGCGGGGUAAAGGCCCACCAAGGCGACGAUCCGUAGCUGGUCUGAGAGGAUGAUCAGCCACACUGGAACUGAGACACGGUCCAGACUCCUACGGGAGGCAGCAGUGGGGAAUAUUGGACAAUGGGCGCAAGCCUGAUCCAGCCAUACCGCGUGGGUGAAGAAGGCCUUCGGGUUGUAAAGCCCUUUUGUUGGGAAAGAAAAGCAGCAGGUUAAUACCCCGCUGUUCUGACGGUACCCAAAGAAUAAGCACCGGCUAACUUCGUG
RNAcentral lists this ribosomal RNA (492 nucleotides) under uncultured bacterium. RNAcentral describes it as "partial 16S ribosomal RNA". It matches the Rfam family "Bacterial small subunit ribosomal RNA", at positions 29 to 507 of the family's 1533-position model. The record is from RNAcentral.